RNAcentral lists this ribosomal RNA (253 nucleotides) under uncultured bacterium. Its description in RNAcentral is "partial 16S ribosomal RNA". It matches the Rfam family "Bacterial small subunit ribosomal RNA", at positions 524 to 776 of the family's 1533-position model. The record is from RNAcentral.
UACGGGGGGAGCAAGCGUUGUUCGGAUUCAUUGGGCGUAAAGGGUGCGUAGGUGGCGCUGUAAGUCGGGUGUGAAAUUUCGAGGCUUAACCUCGAAACUGCAUUCGAUACUGCGGUGCUUGAGGACUGGAGAGGAGACUGGAAUUCAUGGUGUAGCAGUGAAAUGCGUAGAGAUCAUGAGGAAGACCAGUGGCGAAGGCGGGUCUCUGGACAGUUCCUGACACUGAGGCACGAAGGCCAGGGGAGCAAACGGG